CUCUAGUGGCAGUGAGCGGGGGGGGUGCGCAGGCUUCUCUUUGCAGUGGCUUCCUUUGUUGCGGAGCACGGGCUCUAGGCACGCAGGCUUCAGUAGUUGUGGCUCGCAGGCUCUAGAGCGCAGGCUCAGUAGUUGUGGCGCACAGGCUUAGUUGCUCCACGGCAUGUGGGAUCUUCCCGGACCAGGGCUCAAACCCGUGUCCUCUGCAUUGGCAGGCGGGUUCUUAACCACUGCGCCACCAGGGAAGCCCCAUCUAUUCUUUUUCAAAGUCUAUUCCCAAUUAGAUUAUUACAGAACACUGAGCAGAGUUCCCUGUGCUAGGUUGAUUGGUUUUUUAGAAUAAGAAAUUUGGAGAGAUCGCCAGCAGGUACAGAAUUCUGUGUGACUCUUGAAUAUCUCUCAAAUCUGUUCAUGUCUUCUGUUUCUACUGCUUGAGUCCAGGCUUCCUCUUCUCUUGCCUGCUCCCUGCUGUUCUUUUUUUUUUUUAAUUUAAUUUAUUUAUUUUAUUUUUGGCUGCGUUGGGUCUUUGUUGCAUCACGCGGGCUUUCUCUAGUUGCGGCGAUCGGGGCUACUCUUCAUUGUGGUACAUGGGCUUCUCAUUGCAGUGGCUUCUCUUGUUGCGGAGCACGGGCUCUGGGUGCACAGGCUUCAGUAGUUGUGGGUCGCGGGCUCUAGAGCGCAGGCUCAGUAGUUGUGGCGCAUGGGCUUAGUUGCUCUGCGGCAUGUGGGAUCUUCCCGGACCAGGGUUCGAACCCGUGUCCCCUACAUUGGCAGGCGGAUCCUUAACGCUGCGCCACCAGGGAAGUCCCCAUCAGAGGACUUCUGAGAAGUGGGAAGCUGUCUCUUCCACUCUCUUCCCUUCAUUUUUCUAUGGGGGAGGGGGGGAACUUCCUUCUGAUCCAAGACUUGACAGUUGUCAUAAUAAUUCGUUCCUGAAUGCUGCAGGGAAGUGGCUGUGGUUUCUGUGGAAAGUCCCAGGAAAAUUCUUAUUUUCUUGUCUCCUGUAACCAAUUCAACCCAGAUUUCUUUGCUGAGGCCACCGUCAUCAACUUUUAUUUUUACACUUUCCCAAACCUUUUUAAUGAAAAUUUUCAAACAUAGAGAAAAGCUAAACUAAUUUCACAGUGAACACUUGUGUACCCAUCACCUAGAUUUGACCAUUCCCAUUUUACUCUGCUGUUUGCUUUAUCACACGUCCACCCGUCUUUCCAUCUCUCUGUCUAUCCAUCACUCCCUCUGAUUUUUCUGAUGCAUUUCAAAGUCGAUGUCACCACUUCCCUCUCUACGCUAUCGCAGGUGUAGCUCUGUGCCAGCCAGAUUCCUAUCGUGAAUCAGAAACUUACCAUCAUUUAGAGGGUUUCCUUGCACCCCUUCUGGGUCCGUUUCUGGGUUUCAGAAAGGAGUAGGGGAGAUAGGAGUAAUGCAGUGGAAAGAUGGGGGCUAGACCUUGAAGGCCCUCGUAGACCAUGAUGAGUUUAAUAGUAAGAUCACUACUAUUGAUGAUGAUGAUGAUGAUGAUAUACUGGAUAUUUUUUUGUUUGCUCUUUCAGGUCCGCUCUCCACCUUUCCCUGUCAUACUCUUGGGAAUAGGAUCCAACCUUGGGAGGCUGAUCAGUGUGGACUACCAUGGGCUUUCUUGACCUCUAGUUUCCUGUGGGUUGGCCAGUGGGGACACUGACAAGAGAUUGGAAGGAGGGGUGUUUAUUUCCCCAACUCCCUCCCUGAUACGGCGGUUGCCUCCAGCUGACUGUGUCUUUCCACCCAAGGCCACAGCUCCUGUCUGGAGGUCCACUCCACACACAUCUGGGUUCUUUCAGGCCUGGGGGUAAUCAAAGCUCCCAUCUUUCUAGACCUGAAGUGCUGCAUCACCCUUGUGGUUUCCCUGCACCGCACCAUCUUUGGAAAUAGUCUUUUAUUUUUUUAAUUGAAGUAUAGUUGAUUCAGAAUAUUGUGUAGUUUCAGGUAUACAGCAAAGUGAUUCAGUUUUGUGUGUGUGUGUGUUUGUGUGUGUAUGUGUAUUUUAGAUUCUUUUCCAUUAUAGGUUAUUACAGUAUAUUGAAUAUAGUUCCCUGUGCUAUACCCUAAAUCCCUAUUGCUUAUCUGCUUUAUACAUAGUAGUGUGUAUCUGUUAAUCCCAUAUUCCUAAUUUAUCCCUCUUCCCCCUCCCUUUCCCCUUUGGUAACCAUAAGUUUGUUUUCUAUGUCUGUGAUUGUGUUUCUGUUUUGUAGAUAGAUUCAUUUGUAUUAUUUUUUUAGAUUCCACAUAUAAGUGAUAUCAUGUAAUAUUUUCUUUCUCUGUCUUCACUUAGUAUGAUAUUCUCUAGGCCCAUUCAUUUUGCUGCAAACGGCAAUAUUUCAUUUUUUUGUGGCUAAUAGUAAAUAAUCAUUUUAUUAAACUCUCCCCAGUCGAUCAGUUUGGAUUUGCUGUUUCCUGCUUAGACUCUGAGUGAGGCAGCAGCUAACUGUACUGAGAAUAUCCUAAGAGACAUUCUUCCAAGAGCUUUAUAGGAAACAAUGUAUUUUUUUUAACAUCUUUAUUGGGGUAUAAUUGCUUUACAAUGGUGUGUUAGUUUCUGCUUUAUAACAAAGUGAAUCAGUUAUACAUAUACAUAUGUUCCCAUAUCUCUUCCCUCUUGCGUCUCCCUCCCUCCCACCCUCCCUAUCCCACCCCUCCAGGCGAUCACAAAGCACUGAGCUGAUAUCCCUGUGCUAUGCGGCUACUUCCCACUAGCUCUCUACCUUACGGGAAACAAUGUAUUUAAUCCACCUGAUGACCCUAUGGAGAAACAGAGGUCUGGAGAGGUGGUCUCUAGCUCAGCAUUUCAGAACGAGGAAGUGGCUGACCCAGGAUUUGAACCAUCAGGAAUCUGAACUGCUAAGAGUAACUUAGUAACCGGGAGCCGCUGUGGGAGUUUUAAGCCAAGAAGUCAGUGAACUUCUAUUUGGCUAAUGCGUCGACAACAUUCAACUAAAUCCUGCACCGGAGACCCAGACAAAUGGACUCUGCCUGGGUUCCAGGAUGUCUUCUUGGAGGAGGUGACGUUGGAGCAGGGCUUUAAAGGACAAGUAGCAAAGGCCUGAGAGAAUCCGCCUUGUUCUGGGAAGAGGGUGCAGCAUUGUGUCCGGGAAAGCCCAGCGAUGAGGCUGGGGAAAUAGGUCAGGACUCAUUUGGGAAAGUACCUUGGCUUUGGGACUUUGUCCUAUAACUCACUUUGGAGCUUGCGAACCAGCAAAUUUCAAAGACAAAGUUAGAGGUCAGACAUAGGGUGGUCAACUUUUUAUUCUGCCAGUUUGGACUUAAAGAAAAAAGAGAGGGAGAGAGAGAGAUACCAUUUUGUUAAUUCUAAAAGCAUUUAUUGAGUACCUACUGUGUAUUAAGGAAUGUUCUGGGGCAGGGUCUGAGUUUGUUUUUCCCACUCUUGUACCCUCAGAGUCGAGAGUCACGGAAAGCCCCUAAUAGAAGGAAUGAGUAAAAUUAAAGGCAUUUGCUAGGGUAAGGUCAGUGUGGGAAUAAGCUGCUGGGAAUGAGGUCAAGGCGUGCGAGGCUGUAGAUGAGGUUGGAGAUAGAAGGGAAUAAAUUUGGAAGUCUUCGGUGUUUAGGUUAUUAUCAGUUUUAAAACUAAUUCAUUUUAUUUUUAUGGUUAUUUCCUGUAUUCUGGGGAUUUCAUAAAUAAAGAUGAAAAAGAUUUCCCUGGUGAGUCUCUUUCUUAGUUGCAGCAGGGGCAACCAUGCCAUGGGGAUUUUCCUCUUAGGGACUCCGGAACCGGGAGACACUGCAUUUUGUGGGUGAAAACGCCAGCGGUAGAGUGAAAGCUGUCACUUGCUGAACACUCAUCAUGACCCAGGCGCUGUCCAGAGCUCUGUCCACAUAUUAACUCAUUUAAUUGUCAUGACAGUAAAAUGCAAAGUCCUUACUCUCAUGAUCCCGUCCCUGCCCCGCUCUCACACAUUACCUCCUGCCACUCAUAUAACCUCCUGCCUCCUGCCUCCUGCUUCCUGCCUUUUUCACUCCAGCCUGCUUCCCAUUCUUCCUACACACCAAGCUCAUGUCCACCCCCAGCCCUUUGCACCGGCCAUCCCCUCUGCUGGGAAAGCUCUCUCUCCAUCUUUGGACGGCUUCCUCUCCUUCAUUCUCAUGUCGGCUGGAGCGUGACCACCUUAUGAGAAACAGCAUCUCUUCUUCCACACCCCCAGCCCUCCAGCCCUCUACUCUGCUUUACCCCUCUUCGUAGCAGUUCUCUCUUCUGACAUCCUAUUGUACAUGUAUCUGUUUUUUAUGCAACUGCCCCACAUGAAUGUCAGCUCCAUGAGGGCGGGAACUUUGUCUCACCAUCCUUUCCUCCUCACCCAGAGCAGUAGGAGCUCAAUAAACAUCAGGACCCUGAGUGAUGGAAACAAUCUGUCGAGGUAAAACUGCUAUCAUCCCAUUUUACAGAUGAGGAAUCUAAGGCACAGGGAGGUUAAGUCACUCAGUUGACAAACGGCAGAGAUGGGAUUCAGAUCCAAGCAGCCCAGCUUAAAGAUCGGACCAGGGGCCUGCAGGUUUCCCAUAUCAUUUAGCUUUUGCUAUAAUAAUGCUGUGUAACAAACCACCCCGACUCUCAGUAGCAUUUAUUUAGCUCACGAAGUUUGUGGUGGGCAGUUUUAGGCCGGGCUUGGCUGGAUGGUUUUCCUGGGCUCAGCUGUGCUUACCCACAUGUCCGGGGAUCUGGUGUUGGCUGAUCUAGCCUGGUCUUGGCUGGGGUGGCUGGGAGACUUGGUUUUGCUCCACAUGUCUGUCCUUUCCAAGAGGCUAGCCCAGGCUUGUUCUCAUGGAAGCAAAAGUACAGGUAAAAACGUACCAGGCCCCUCCAUUAAGACGUAGGCUGGAGAUUGGCACUCUGUCAUUUCCAACUCAUUCUGCUGGUGAAAGCAAGUCACACAGCCAACCCAGAGUCAUAUAACUACAAAGUUACAUGGUCAAGAGCAUGGACACAGGAAGGGGUGAGGAACUGGGGCCAAAAGUACAAUCUGCCAUAGUUCCCAUCAGCUGAAAGAUCUUGGGCUCUGCUCCCCAGCAGGAGAGGUCAGAGGCCAUUUGACAGAGGGUCCGAGGGAGCUCCCGUUUCAUGCUUCUUUGAAGGAAACACUCAGGAUCAGGGUGGACAGGGUUUGUGUGGGGGGAAGGGAACAACGUAGUAGAGAGUGGAUGGGGGAAGAAGCUAUUGUGUCUGCAUUUCUCGUUUGGGUGUGGCCAUCUAGAGGAAGCUGGCUGGAAGCUUGGAAGCCGUCCACGUUAUCUGGUUGAGGAGUGAGUGCUUUAGUUGAUCAUAGUCAUGGCAUUAUCUGAUUUGAGGUUUUUCACCUAAAUGGAUUAAUUUAGAUCUAUCUAUCAAUCGAUUAUACAUUGGCUAUGUUUUUCUGAAUUUUUGUCUUUGGCUCAGUGAAGCCUUGGUUUGUAAAUAAUGGUGCAGAUGGGGGUUUCAUGCAUCCUAAGAUCUUUUGAGUCAUUUCAAAACCUUUCCUCCUAGUUCUUGUGUAAGCUUUGGGCUUUGCAAACCCGCCUUCCAUGCUGCAUGCCCUGCAGAAGCCACUUAAUCAUCACAACAGCUCUAUAUAGCCAGACUACGAUUAUUUCCAUUUGACAAGCCAGGAAGAUUUAGUGGUUUCCACAAGCCAGUUUCCCAGAACUUUUGCUGCUUGUAAAAAUGAUUGGACCCAGAUGAUUCUAGAACUUCCCUGGAUACAAAAAGCGAGGCUGGCUACGCUGUCACCAGCAGAAUAGAGACAGCUGUCCUGGCACAGGGGCAUGAGGCAGGGAUUCAGACACACUCCUGUUACAGGAGGGGGGACCCCUUCCAGGGCUCUUGUCUAACACUCGGAAAUGAACUGUCCAAGGAGACACAUUUGCUGACGAAGCACGAGACUUUACUGGGAAGGGGCACCUGGGCGGAGAGCAGCAGGGUAAGGGAAUCCAGGAGGACUGCUCUGCCACGUGGCUUGCAGUUUCGGGUUUGAUGGUAAUGGGAUUAGUUUCCGGGUUCUCUCUGGCCAAUCACUCUGACUAUAAGUCCUUCCUGGUGGAGCUCGCAUCACUCAACCAAGAUGGAUUCAAGCGAGGACUCUGGGAGGCUGGUAGGACAUAUGGACUGGAGUCUCCUCUCUCCUUUUGACCUUUCCUGAAUUCUUCCGGUUGGUGGUAGCGAGUAAUGUUCUAAGAGCUUCAUGAAGACUAACUCAUUUCACACGAACAGAAACAACCACACCACAAGGAAUACUUAUUGAAUGCCUCCUAUGUGCCAGGUGCUGUUCUGAGCACGGGGGCACACGAGUAAUCAAAGCAGCCUAACUGGUAGAGGUACUUUUAGCAGAAGAAUUCAAGGACCCCGAGGAAGGGAAGGGAAGAAAGAACAUCCUGACUGAUGAACCUGGGCACGCUGAGACCCUCCCAUUUGCUACAUAGGUUUCUUUGUAGGGGGAAAAAAAAAAAGACCACACCUGCAGAGAAAGUGGUUUAUCGAUUGGAUCCCCACACAGCGGGAACAUGGUGGAGAUGCAGGGAAAGGAUUUCACCUGUCACUCAGAGCAUCACCUUCACGCUUGAGAUUUCUUGAUUUUCUUCACUGAGGUUUCAGAGGCUUGAUUGCCUCCAUGGCCACGGGCGGAUGCACUGGACAGUAAUUGGACACAGUCUUGGGGUCAGUGUUAAUGAGUCUUUGUUUUUCCAGUCAGUCCCAUGGAGGGCAAAGGUCUGUUUCUCCUUUGCUCUCUGCUCUUCCCAUGUCGACUCCUGCUGUCUCAUGCCUGCUCCAAAGACUGUGCUGUCCUCUCUCUGCCCCUCUCUCACCUUCUCUUGCCACUAAUCCUUCCCAGAUCCUCUUCCUUCCAUUUCUCGUCCUGCAAACUCUCUGGCUUCUUCCCUCUCAGACUCUCCUCUCUCCAUCUUUUGCCUUUUGCCCUUGUCGCUUCUAUUUACAUCUUUUCUCCCCUCUCUCCUCUUCUUCCUCUGUGCCUCACUCUUCCUCCUGUACAUACUUACCUCAUCGUAUCUCUCCACCUGCCUCAUCCUUCCUUCUCACUGUGGCACCUGACCCCACCUCUUUAUCCAGCUCUGUCUCUUCCCAUCCUCCCCGGACGCUCUUACCUUUUUUAUUGCUAGCAAUACCUCCAAGCUCUAUCCUGGUCAAAGUUUGGAGAGAGUGAGCACCAACGCCUCCAAAAAAUACUCCCAGGGGCUUCCCUGGUGGCGCAGUGGUCGAGAGUCCACCUGCCGAUGCAGAGGACACGGGUUCGUGCCCCGGUCCGGGAAGAUCCCACAUGCUGCGGAGCGGCUGGGCCCGUGAGCCAUGGCCGCUGAGCCUGCGCGUCCGGAGCCUGUGCUCCGCAGCGGGAGAGGCCACAACAGUGAGAGGCCCGCGUACCGAAAAAAAGAAAAAAAACUACACCCAAGACAGUUUAAUCUCCUGUAUUCCAUAUCCCACUAUUUUCUGGUUGUACCAAAACCAAACAAACAAGCAAACAAAAAACAACUAGCAAAUGAUUGUAUGCUUUUAAAAAAUUACACUUAACAAAUGGGAUGAGGUAGGAUUCCUCUUUCUUUUUUUGGCUGCGUUGGGUCUUUGUUGCUGCGUGCGGGCUUUUCUCUGGUUGCGGCGGGCGGGAGCUACCGGUGCGCAGGCUUCUCAUUGCCGUGGUUUCUCUUGUUGCAGAGCUCGGGCUCUAGGCACACGGGCUUCAGUAGUUGUGGCGCACAGGUUUAGUUGCUCUGCAAGAAGGACCAGGGCUCGAACCCGUGUUCCCCGCAUUGGCAGGCGGAUUCUUAACCCCCUGCGCCACCAGGGAAGCCCGGAAUUCCUCUUUCUUAAAAAUGUUUCUAGAGCUACUAACAACUUGCAUUUACAAAGGAGUUGAAAAAAGUAUUCCUCUGGACUGUACAAGAAGGGAAACAGGGACCACUGAUAAGGCAUGGUAUAUGAUAUUAAUCAGACUUCUUUUUCUCCUUCUUCAUCAGAGCCUGGAUUCUCCUUGGUUUUAGUUUCUCCACUUUCUGCAGGUGUGGAGAUACAGAUACGAAAAGGACACAGUUCCUGCCAGCUAGGAUCACUGCCUUGAAGGAAACAGACAUUGUCUCCGAGGCACGGAAGGCGGGGCCUGCUUCACCGGACAGAUCAACUCGAAGCCCCAUUGGUCGAUACGAAAGCAUCUGAUGAGCUCAUUGGAUGAGCCUGGAGGAACGCCACACCCCAUUGGCCUAUCCCAGGCUGUCUUGCUAGUACGCAUGCGCAGGACGCCGAGUGGCUGGCAAGCCGGGGGACCCAGAACUCGCUGGUCUUUGCCGCGCUAGGCCUGCAGGGCGGGGCGGGGCGGGGCGAGCGGUGCCUCCCCAAAUGGCCUUGCUUACACUUUUAUCUCUUUGGGUUAUAGAAUCCCUACUUCUCCAGCCACACUAGGAAGUCAAACCCUUGGCUUUCACCCACUGAACUUUUCUCCCUGUCCAGCAUGUUUCCAGCCUGGCCCCUGCCCCAGCACCCAUCCAGUGGCCGUAGCCACUGGAAGUCGACUUGGUCUCCUCACCCGUCACUUGCAGUGGUUCCUGCUCAGCCCAGGCCUCAUCCUCUGAACACGUCAUGGCACCAGCCUCUUCCGUGACCUUCUGGAAGGCUGAAUAGGGUAAUGCGGGCUUCAGUGUUACUUCCGGCACCCCUGAAUGACCGAUUGCCAUCGUAUCUAACCCACGUGUCAGUGUCAGUACCAUGAACACGUUGUGUCAUUCAGAUUUCUUGUUCAUGGCUGGAAAAUCCUAUUUCAUAUAUAUAUACACACACACACACACACACACAUAUAUAUAUAUACACAUAUAUAUGUGUAUAUAUAUGUGUAUAUAUAUAUAAGCUUUCUGAUGUAACAUGAAGUAGAGAUGUCUUUUGUGUUCUUUCAGACUUGGUACUGUUUCUGUGAGUUCUAUGGUAUAAAUGAAUAUUUAUUUUUAAUAGAGAAAAAUGCCCCAAUAAGAAUGGUGUUGGUAAAAGUCGAAAUUUUAUGUAAAAAUAUAUUAAGAGUUUUCAGUUGGGGACUGUUAAUAUUAAGAAUAUUAUUAUUAAUAUGGUUAUUAACAUAAAUAUUAGGAACAGUUCAUAUAUACAGUAAGAGAGAGUUCUGGUCCCAAAGACCCUGUCUCUCAGGACCCAGGACUCUGAGCCACCCUCCCUUCUUCUUGGGACUCAGGCCUCCAGCACUCACCUCCUCUGAGCUGUAACAGUAUGUGGUUUUCCCGGGUCAUUGUGUACCUAUAGGUGUGGUGCAAGGUCUCAGGUCUUGGCCACAAUUGCCAAUGCAGGACCAAUGGGUUAGGGGAAACUGGAGGGCAGAGAGGGUGGUUGGGAGCUUCACAGACACCUGCUUCAAGCUCCAGAAUGUUGUCUCAGGGCCCUCAUCCCUUCCCAUGCCUCUGACUGGCACUCACCCUUCCUCUUCUGUCCUAGCCCCAAAGCUGGCUUCUAGCACCUGUAGUGAAGGUCAUCUUAAAUAAUCUCUUGGCCUGUUAAUUAGUUUGCUGAGGCUGCCGUAACUAAGUACCACAGAUUGAGAGGCUGAAAGUCCAAAAUAAAGGUAUCAGCAGGGUUGGUUCCUCCUGAGGGCUGUGAGGGAAAGAUCUCUUCCAGACCUUUCUCCUUGGCUUGUAGAUGGCUGUCUUCCUCUUGUGUGUUCACAUCACCUUCCCUCUAUGCAUAUCUUUUAAAAAAAUAUUUAGUUAUUUAUUUUAUUUUUGGCUGCGUCAGGUCUUAGUUGUGGCGCCGGGCUCUUCGUUGCAGCCUGUGGGCUUCUCUUCUAGUUGUGGUGUGCGGGCUUAGUAGUUGCAGCUCUCUAGUUGUGGCAUGUGGGCUCCAGAGCACGUGGGCUCUGUAGUUGCGGCACACAGGCCCUCUAGUUGUGGCUCACAUGCUCAGUAGUUGCGGCGCAUGGGCUUCGUUGCCCCGCGGCACGUGGAAUCUUAGUUCCCCUACCAGAGAUCGAACCCACGUCCCCUGCAUUGGAAGGUGGAUUCUUAACCACUGGACCCCCGGGGAAGUCCCCUUCUAUGCGUGUCUGUGUCCAGAUUUUCCCUUAGUAUGAGGAUACCAGUUGGAUUAGGUCCCACCCUAAUGUCCUUGUUUUAACUUCAUUACGCCUGUGAGGAUCCUAUUUCUAAAUAAGGUCACUUUCUGAGGUCAUGGAAGUUAGGACUUCAACAUGUGAAUCUGGGGGCAAUACCACCCAUAACAGCCUGUUAGAGAGACUUGUGUUACAGAUGAAGCAGUGAGUGCGGAAUAGCGCUCCAGGGGCAUCGUGCUACCAUUUUGUAAUUUCUUCUGUGUUAACGUCAUUCCUGAUGCAGCCUUUGCUUCCCACAGAGGCUACCUUGAUGGCUGGUGAGGGAGGGUGUGAAGAUGCAAGACUGAGGGGUAUCCCCGGAGCGAGUCAGGGGCUCAGAGGCUCACUCAGGGAUUCCAAAUAGGCCAGAACAGUGUCCCUGUUAGCACAAGGUAUAUAUAGUGCAUCCCAGUGGGUGAGUUUGUAGGGGAAACGCCCCUUUCUACCCAAGCCUGCCCAUCUGAUUCUAUUAUGAGAAGAGUAAGGAUCAGAUAUAGGUUCAGUUCUUGGGGGGCUGUAGGAUUUCUCCUGCCUUCAGGCUUGCCCUGUCUUUGACAUCUUUGAGUGAUUCCACAUCAAAGGAUCUGGGAAGAAAGUACCCCCUUUUUCAGCCUGUGUCUGUCCUUCCAGGUCACAGGCUUGGGAAGAUGAUUCUUAAGUCACACUCCAGGUGACCUGGCCAUAGAGUCCCUCCAUCUCAGGUUUAGAAGGAACCUUGGAAGUGUAAGACCCCUUCCUCUAUUCUUCACCCCAUUUCUGUUUAUAUACCUGUAGGGACCUUUCACCACCACCCCUGUGGGAGAAGUGGCUCUGCCGUUUUGGUGUGAGAGAAAUCCCUAGAUCUUUCUUAGCCUGAGCUGAUCUCUUUUCCUUUCUGAGCCUCAGUUUCCUCAUCUGGAAAAUGAGAAGGUUAGUCUAGAGCAAUGGUUGGCAAGUUAUUUGUGACAUUAUAUGGAAAAUAAAAUGAAAACAGAAUGAAUCGAAUGGCUCACCUAUAGUGAGGACAUCUUUUUUAAACACCAACGGGACCAUCAUUGUUCACCUGGAUUAUUGCAAUAAGUGCUGCCCUUGCCCCACUUCAGUCUAUUCCCCUCUUGGCAGCAGAGUGAUCUGGUAAAUAUAAGUCAGAUUGUGUCACAUCUGUGUAAAGCCUUCCAGUGGAUUCCCAUUUUACCCCAAGAGAGAGUCUAAGUCCUUACGAUGGUCUCUAAUGCCCUACUCUGUCCCCACGUCCUGUUCUGCCCUCCCUCGCUCAUUCUGCUUCACCCACACUGGCCUCCAGGCUGUUCCAGGAACGCAUGGCGGGAACACGCUGACCUCAGGCCCUUUGCAUAUGCUCCUCCAGCUCUCUGAAACCAUCCACCUUACGCCCACUUCCUCCCUUCAUUCAUGUCUCUGUUAUAACAGCACUCUUUGCUGACUCUUGUUUAGAAGAACAGCAGCCAUGUCAGUCUCUGACCCCUUGCUCUGCCUGAGUUUCUUCUGAGCACUUAUUGCCUGACAUAUUAUUUGUCUAUAUUUAUUUCUAUGUUCAUUGACUACUUUCCCCAACAAGAAGGUAAGCUCCACAAAGGCAGGGGGUUUGGUUUUGAUUUGUUUAUUCCCUGGUGUAUCCCCGGCAUCUACGACAGAGGCUGGUAAUAGAAGGGGCUUGUUAAAUAAAUACACAUCACAUUGGGGAAUGAGGCUCAAGGAGAUGGUGACGCUCAAAAGCUGGGACUAGCACCCAUGUCUCCGAUUCAGACACUAGGCUUUUAACUGCUGGGCUCUUCCUGACUGUGCCGACCCACCGUUCUCACUGGGACCCCCACCCCUUAUGGGGACAGUCAAGGCCACUCAUGUUUCAGCCCUUCCGUUCUACUUCAAUGUGGGCUCUUGCUGUGGCCUAUUUUGAGCAAUCUAUAUGUGCUUGUACCCAGCCCUCUCUGACCCCCAGGCCUUCACAGGAGCUGUUCUAUCACCCUGGGAUGCCCUUCUGUCCUCUACUUAUUCCCUGACAUCGUGCGCACCUCCCCCUCUGUUUCCUGGUCUUCCUGAUGCUCAGUAAAUAUUUGCUAAACUGUUGAUGUCCAAAGUGUUUUGUCUAUGCCUUUGUAUUAGGAAUUUUUGCUUUAUGGUACAAUGGCUGUGUGUGUGCGUGUGUGUCUGUGUGUCCAUGUGAGUUUGUGCAUACGCUUCUGUACAUGUACAUGUCCGUGUCUCUGUGUGCAUGUGUGUGUGUGUCUGUGCAUGUUUCUCUGUGUGUACAUGCCUGUGUCUAUGUGUAUGUUAUGUGUACAUGUAUGGCUGUAUGUGUAGACCAUGUCUGGGUGUAUUUGUAUGUGUGUCUGGUUCCUUCCAACUGUGUCUGAUCCAUCCCUGUGUACCCAGCACAGGAUUACAGUGUAGGCAUCCAGUAAAUGCUUGCUACUAUAUAAAGCUCCUAUAAACAUUCAUAUAAAAAGACCUUGUUUAGACAUAUAUUCUCAUUUUCUAGGGUAAGUGUAGAACUGCUGGGGCAUAGGGUAGGUGCAUAGUAGGUUUUAUAAGGAAUUCCCAGACCUUCUUCCAAAGUGGUCCCACACUUUUACAUUCUCACCAACAAUGUAGGAGAAUUCCAGUUGCUCCACAUUCUUGCUAACCCAUGGUUUUGUCAGACUUUUAAAUUUAACCAUUCUAGAGGGUGUGUAGUAGUAUCUUGGCAUUUCUCUGAUAAUGAAAAAUGUUGAGUAACUUUUCAUGUGCUAAUUAACUAUUUGUAUACCUUUAUUAGCAAAGUGUCAGUUCCAAUCACUGGCCCAUUUAAAACUGGGUUAUUUGACAUGAAAGGAUGCUCAACAUCACUAAUCAUUAGAGAAAUGCAAAUCAAAACUACAAUGAGGUAUCACCUCACACCGGUCAGAAUGGCCAUCAUCAAAAAGUCUACCAAAAAAAAAAAAAAAAAAGUCUACAAAUAAUAAAUGCUGGAGGGGGUGUGGAGAAAAGGGAACCCUCUUGCACUGUUGGUGGGAAUGUAAAUUGAUACAGCCACUAUGGAGAACAGUAUGGAGGUUCCUUAAAAAACUAAAAAUAGAACUACCAUAUGACCCAGCAGUCCCACUACUGGCAUAUACCCUGAGAAAACCAUAAUUCGAAAAGAGUCAUGUACCACAAUGUUCAUCGCAGCACUAUUUACAAUAGCCAGGACACGGAAGCAACCUAAGUGUCCAUCGACAGAUGAAUGGAUAAAGAAGAUGUGGCACAUAUAUACAAUGCAAUAUUACUCAGCCAUAAAAAGAAAUGAAAUUGAGUUAUUUGUAGUGACGUGGAUGGACCUAGAAUCUGUCAUACAGAGUGAAGUAAGUCAGAAAGAGAAAAACAAAUACCGUAUGCUAACACAUAUAUAUGGAAUCUAAAAAAAAAAAAAAAGGUUCUGAUGAACCUAGGGGCAGGACAGGAAUAAAGGUACAGACAUAAAGAAUGGACUUGAGGACAGGGGGAGGGGGAAGGGUAAGCUGGGACGAAGUGAGAGAGUAGCAUUGACAUAUAUACACUACCAAAUAUAAAAUAGAUAGCUAGUGGGAAGCAACUGCAUCUCACAGGGAGAUCAGCUCGGUGCUUUGUGACCACCUAGAAGGGUGAGAUAGGGAGGGUGGGAGGGAGACGCACGAAGGAGGGGAUAGGGGGAUAUAUGUAUACAUAUAGCUGAUUCAUUUUGUUUACAGCAGAAACUAACACAACACUGUAAAGCAAUUAUACUCCAAUAAAGGUGUUAAAAAGAAAACGGAGUUAUUUGCCAUCUUAUUAUUGCAUUAUAAGAGUGCUUCAUGUUUUCAGUAUACGUGUUGCAAGUAUUUUCUUUCAGUCUGGGACUUGUCUUUUUACUGUUGAGAAAAUGGUAUCUUUUGAAGAGAAGAAGUUUUUCAUUUUGAGAAAGCCCAAUUUAUCAGUUUUUUUCAUGAUUCUUGUUUUUUGGUGUUCAGUAUAAAAAUGUCAUUUACCCUAAGGUCACUAAAAAUUUUUUUGCUAUGUUUUUUUCUAGAAGAUUUAUCAUUUUGCUUUUGAAUUUAGGUUUAUGAUCCAUUUUGAGUUCAUUUUUGUGAAUGGUGUGAGGUAAGGAUUGAGGUCCAUUUUCUCCCUAAAUCCACCAGUUCUAGAAUCCUUUGUAGAAAAGAUUGUCCUUUGUCAU
Molecule: long non-coding RNA, 14256 nt
Organism: Orcinus orca (killer whale)
Lineage: Eukaryota; Metazoa; Chordata; Mammalia; Artiodactyla; Delphinidae
Exons: 7
Source: RefSeq, a predicted model, not a curated record